RNAcentral lists this ribosomal RNA (433 nucleotides) under uncultured bacterium. Its description in RNAcentral is "partial 16S ribosomal RNA". It matches the Rfam family "Bacterial small subunit ribosomal RNA", at positions 29 to 507 of the family's 1533-position model. The record is from RNAcentral.
AACGAACGCUGGCGGCAUGCCUAACACAUGCAAGUCGAACGAGACCUUCGGGUCUAGGGGCGCACGGGUGCGUAACGCGUGGGAACCUGCCCUUAGGUUCGGAAUAACUCCCCGAAGGGGGUGCUAAUACCGGUGAAUGUCAUCGGACCAAAGAUUUAUUGCCUUGGGGUGGGGGCGCGUUGGAUUAGCUGGUUGGUAGGGUAAAAGCCUGCCAAGGCCAGGAUCCAUAGCUGGUGGGAGAGGAUGAUCCGCCACACUGGGAAUGAGACACGGCCCAGACUCCUACGGAAGGCAGGAGUGGGGAAUAUUGGACAAGGGGCGAAAGCCCGAUCCAGCAAUGCCGGGGGAGAGAUGAAGGCCUUAGGGUUGUAAAGCUCUUUUAGCCGGGAUGAUAAUGACAGUACCGGGAGAAUAAGCUCCGGCUAACUCCGUG